RNAcentral lists this ribosomal RNA (618 nucleotides) under uncultured bacterium. RNAcentral's name for it is "bacterial SSU rRNA". It matches the Rfam family "Bacterial small subunit ribosomal RNA", at positions 619 to 1239 of the family's 1533-position model. The record is from RNAcentral.
ACCUGCAUCCGAUACGGUCGAGCUAGAGUUUGGUAGGGGAGACUGGAAUUCCUGGUGUAGCGGUGGAAUGCGCAGAUAUCAGGAGGAACACCGAUGGCGAAGGCAGGUCUCUGGGCCAAUACUGACACUGAGGAGCGAAAGCGUGGGGAGCGAACAGGAUUAGAUACCCUGGUAGUCCACGCCGUAAACGGUGGGCGCUAGUUGUGCGAACCUUCCACGGUUUGUGCGACGCAGCUAACGCAUUAAGCGCCCCGCCUGGGGAGUACGAUCGCAAGAUUAAAACUCAAAGGAAUUGACGGGGCCCCGCACAAGCAGCGGAGCAUGCGGCUUAAUUCGACGCAACGCGAAGAACCUUACCAAGGCUUGACAUAUACAGGAAUAUGGCAGAGAUGUCAUAGCCGCAAGGUCUGUAUACAGGUGGUGCAUGGUUGUCGUCAGCUCGUGUCGUGAGAUGUUGGGUUAAGUCCCGUAACGAGCGCAACCCUCGUUCUGUGUUGCCAGCAUUAAGUUGGGGACUCACAGGAGACUGCCGGGGUUAACUCGGAGGAAGGUGGGGGAUGACGUCAAAUCAUCAUGCCCCUUAUGUCUUGGGCUGCACGCAUGCUACAAUGGCUGGUA